Carya illinoinensis is the source of this 2363-nucleotide long non-coding RNA. RefSeq lists it as uncharacterized. NCBI's taxonomy places the organism in Eukaryota, Viridiplantae, Streptophyta, Magnoliopsida, Fagales, Juglandaceae. The transcript has 2 exons. The record is from RefSeq and is a predicted model, not a curated record.
AACCCAUUCCACUUCAGCCAGCCCUCUCUUUCCCCUCAUACAGUGCGUUUUGGGUUCGGGCUUCUUCAUUUCAUUUUCUUCCUUGCGCCGGCACAGUCCCAGAUUCCCACAUCUUUAGUUCUUCUUCAGUUCUUAUUUUCUUCUUAUUCCUCCUAGCUCCUGCUACACCGUCCGCCCAUGCCAUUCUUCUUCUUUUCUUCUUCCUCUUGCCUCCUGCAUCAUCAUGAGCCGUGCCACUUCUUCUUCAAUCUUCAGUUCUUUUGUUGGUUUUCUUCUUAUUUUCUUCUCUUCCACAGCCUGCCGUGCACAAACCCUUGGCCUCACCUCACUCUCGCAGUGGAACAUCCCCUCACUGAGUCACGACUCACGCAUCCCCUCUCUCACGUCCCUCUGUCUUCGAUUCCUCACGCGGACUUGAGUUGAGUGGUGGUGAAAGCAAGGGCCUCAUCAAGGAUGUCUUCUCCGUGCACCCUAAGAUGCAUGGCUUCACACAAGGCUAGUAUGCCCGGAAUGUUGGUGCUCAAGCUUUCCUUGAAGUAUCCUUUUUAUCUUUAAACUUGUUAAACACAUCUACUUCAACAAAUAUGGGAAAAACAAAUAUAUAUAUAUAUAUAUAUAUAUAAUCUAGUUUAAAAGAAGCUAUUACAAGAGUAUAUAACUUAAUGCAAUACUUGCACUUAAAAUAAUAUCAAAUAAAGGAGGCCAGGCACGCGUCUAGCUCAUCACUUAUAGACAAUAAACUAAAUACGUAAUCCAAAGAAGUAUAUAUGCAGGGGCAGAACAAGAUGCAUGCUAGGGGGGCUUUUAAAAAAUGUAAUAUAGUGUAUAAAUAAGUAUAAUUUUUCUUAAACUUUAAAAUUUUUUUACUGAAAUUAGCCCUCCCAAUACUUAAGAUUUCAAAAAUUUUACUGAAAUUAUUCUCCAAAUCUCAAUUUUUACUCUAACUUUUCACAUUACCUACACUCAAAUAUUCUGCGCUGCUUACCAAUACACCUUGAAAAUGAAAAUACUCAAAUUGUAGAACUACUCUCCAAUAUUAGACCUUUCUCCUAUAGCACGGUUGCACCUCUGGGUGAUUAGACUUUCUCCUUUAGCACGUUGCACCUGCAAGAGCUGCACCUCUGCGUGAUUAGACUUUUUCAGAAUUUUAGUACAUGCUACACACCUUUCUCCUUCAACAUACUAGUGUGGCCCAUACGCGAAUAGAGGGAUUUUUUUUUUCAUUGAGGAACUAAGGAAUAGCGAUUUUUCAAGAUAGAAACAGAGGUAGAGAGAAAAGAUUGCCUUGGUAGUUGGUUUCAAAGGAAGAGUGUGUACUGUGUGUGGGUUGUGGCUUUUACGGAGAUAGAGAGAUGAACCACUUGAGGUUAGCUUUCAAAGAUAAAGAGAGUUUUUUUUCAAUAGCCCAGGUGGCAGGUAGGCUCUGACCCUCUAUGUACUAGCAAGUUCUUUAUUUAUUUAUUUAUUAUUAUUAUUAUUAUUAUUAUUAUUAUUAUUAUUAUUUUGUGUUGAUGCAUUAUGCAAUGAUGUUGCCGGUGGAUUUGGUGAAUUGCUUCAUUUUUAUUUUUUAUUUUUUUCAUUUGGAUCUGGUGAAUUGCUUCUAUUGGAUAUGUUGUUGUCAUUUGCUUCUAGUUUUUUUGUUCACUUAGUAAUAAAUACAAACUAUACAAAAAAAUCUAACAACUCUACAUCAUUACUUAUUAGGUACUUCUCAGGUUUAUUUUUGAUCUAUAAAUUUUUUGUAAAGUAUAGAAAAAUAUGAGCAAGCCAAGACCAAUUAAUUCUUUUUUUUUUAAAAGAAAGCCAUGGACAAUUCGGAGAGUAAUAUGCAUUUAGAGAGCUCGACAACAACGGAAUGUGAUACUUCUACCACUGACGAGCGUCCCUCUAAAACUUCAAGAAUCCAACCUGAAAAGAUGGAUGCUACAUCUUUGGAACGUAAUCCAAGAUUAUGGCUACAAAUAUGGAAAUUUCCUUCUAACCUACAAGACAAGAUCCGACGUGCCUAUCUUAAAGUUGGUCCAUAUCAAACUAAACUUUCAAAAUAUCCAUUUUCAAGAGUAGGCAAUCAACGUCGUUAAUUUCAAUUUUCUUGGUUUCAAUGAUAUUCAAAUUGGUUAGAGUACUCGCCAUCGAAGAUUGCUAUAUUUUGUCUUCCAUGCUACAUUUUUACUAAGAAAUCAACAAGCCGUCCAGGAUCAGAUGCAUUUACCAAUAAAGGUUUUGACAAUUGAAAAAAAGUGAAUGAUAGAAUGAAUUGUCCUUUAAUAGGACAUGUGGGGAGAGAUCUGAAUUCGUUACAUAAAAAUGCUGUAAAAUGCUGUGAGAAUUUAAUGAAUCAGUCAAGACAUAUUGAUAAGUUA